RNAcentral lists this long non-coding RNA (202 nucleotides) under Callithrix jacchus (white-tufted-ear marmoset). Its description in RNAcentral is "lncRNA (ENSCJAG00000084851.1)". The record is from RNAcentral. Lineage: Eukaryota; Metazoa; Chordata; Mammalia; Primates; Cebidae.
GACUGAAAGAAUAGAUGAGUGCGUUUGAAGGAUCACGCUUCCAUAGAGCAUGUCGUCGAGCCUCUUGGAAUAAGAACAGAUACAAUCAAACAGAGUCACCUUCUCUUCAGUUGUACCAUUCAGUAGUGCCGGUGUUCCAUCUGAAGUGUGACUCUGUGAUGACUUGUGUAUUAGACUUUUCUUGAAACCAACUGUUGGCUUU